This 1486-nucleotide ribosomal RNA is filed under the name uncultured fungus. RNAcentral describes it as "eukaryotic LSU rRNA". The stretch from base 676 to 1486 matches the Rfam family "Eukaryotic large subunit ribosomal RNA", at positions 1 to 667 of the family's 3401-position model. The record is from RNAcentral. Lineage: Eukaryota; Fungi.
CUUGGUCACUUAGAGGAAGUAAAAGUCGUAACAAGGUUUCCGUAGGUGAACCUGCGGAAGGAUCAUUCACAAUAAGUGUUUUUAUGGCACUUUAAAAUCCAUAUCCACCUUGUGUGCAACGUUUUGAGGUCUUUUUAUCAUUUCGCCGGUUGCAGAAUGUUUGUUCUACAGCCGCGGAAGGCAAGAUAAGGAGGCUUUUUAUAUCUUAACUCUUGAUCUUUAACAAAUUUGUCUGAAAAUCUAUUGCGAAUUAACUUUCAAAAUAAAUACAACUUUCAACAACGGAUCUCUUGGCUCUCGCAUCGAUGAAGAACGCAGCGAAAUGCGAUACGUAAUGUGAAUUGCAGAAUUCAGUGAAUCAUCGAAUCUUUGAACGCACAUUGCGCUCUCUGGUAUUCCGGAGAGCAUGCUUGUUUGAGUAUCAGUAAAACACCUCAAGUCCGCUCUUCUUUGAAGACGGAUUUGGACUUGAGCGAUCCCAACAGGAGGGCUUUCCUUCUGGCGGGUUGCUUGAAAUGCAGGUGCAGCUGGACUUUCUUCUGGGCUAUAAGCAUAUUUAUUUAGUCCCGUUAAACGGAUUAUUACUUUUUGCUGCAGCCAACGUAAAGGUUGAUUGUCCUCUUGCUGACUGAUGCAGGAAUUUUCGGGGGAUCGGCAACGAUUUCCCGUUAAACUCGAUCUCAAAUCAAGUAAGACUACCCGCUGAACUUAAGCAUAUCAAUAAGCGGAGGAAAAGAAACUAACAAGGAUUCCCCUAGUAACGGCGAGUGAAGCGGGAUGAGCUCAAAUUUAAAAUCUGGCUGGUUUUCUAGUCCGAAUUGUAGUUUAAAGAAGCGUUUUCGGUGGCAGCCCGGGUAUAAAUCCUUUGGAACAGGGUAUCAUAGAGGGUGAGAAUCCCGUCUUUGACCUGGUGCAUGCUACUAUGUGAUACGUUUUCAAAGAGUCGAGUUGUUUGGGAAUGCAGCUCAAAAUGGGUGGUAAAUUUCAUCUAAGGCUAAAUAUUGGCGAGAGACCGAUAGCGAACAAGUACCGUGAGGGAAAGAUGAAAAGAACUUUGAAAAGAGAGUUAAACAGUGCGUGAAAUUGUUGAAAGGGAAACGUUCGACACCAGUCAUGCGGAUGAAAAAUCAGUCAAUGGUGGUGAGGAGUGGUAGGGGUUCAGACCGCAAGGCUGGCUUUUGCUUCAUCUUUGUUGCCAGUGAUGCACUUUUUCAUUUGCAGGUCAACAUCAGUUUCCCCUGCUGGACAAAACUCCGAGAGAAGGUAGCAGCUUAGGCUGUGUUAUAGCUCUGGAGCGAUACAGUGGGGGGGACUGAGGCUUUCGCAGUGUGUGCUCUCGGGCAAGGCUGACUGGGUGCUAUGGGAUCGUUCAGCGUACAAUGCUUGCAUUUUGCGUCGUGUCUUUUCUAUACUCGCUCAGCUCAGCUCUUCCACACUUAGGAUGUUGACUUAAUGGUUUUAAACGACCCGUCUUGAAACACGGACC